RNAcentral lists this long non-coding RNA (236 nucleotides) under Mytilus galloprovincialis (Mediterranean mussel). Lineage: Eukaryota; Metazoa; Mollusca; Bivalvia; Mytilida; Mytilidae. The record is from RNAcentral.
CCGGAUUUGUAAUCACAUAAGCAACACAACGGGUGCCACAUGUGGAGCAGGAUCUGCUUACCCUUCCGGAGCACCUGAGAUCACCCCUAGUUUUUGGUGGGGUUCGUGUUGUUUAUUCUUUAGUUUUCUAUGUUGUGUCAUGUGUACUAUUGUUUUUCUGUUUGUCUUUUUCAUUUUUAGCCAUGGCGUUGUCAGUUUGUUUUAGAUUUAUGAGUUUGACUGUCCCUUUGGUAUCU